Molecule: ribosomal RNA, 336 nt
Filed under: uncultured bacterium
Lineage: Bacteria
Description: bacterial SSU rRNA
Rfam family: Bacterial small subunit ribosomal RNA
Source: RNAcentral
AAGUGGAGCAAUCCAUGAGUAAAGUGGCGACCGGGUGAGUAACACGUGACUAACCUACCUUCGAGUGGGGGAUAACAUCGGGAAACCGAUGCUAAUACCGCAUAACAUCGCAAGAUCAAAGCAGCAAUGCGCUGGAAGAGGGGGUCGCGGCUGAUUAGCUAGUUGGCGGGGUAACGGCCCACCAAGGCGAAGAUCGGUAUCCGGCCUGAGAGGGCGCACGGACACACUGGAACUGAAACACGGUCCAGACUCCUACGGGAGGCAGCAGUGGGGAAUUUUGCGCAAUGGGGGAAACCCUGACGCAGCAACGCCGCGUGGGGGAUGAAGCUUUUCGGA